This 3235-nucleotide long non-coding RNA is filed under the name Hordeum vulgare. Its description in RNAcentral is "long non-coding RNA (HVUL_LNC000481)". The stretch from base 1164 to 1298 matches the Rfam family "MIR1120/MIR1122 microRNA precursor family". Lineage: Eukaryota; Viridiplantae; Streptophyta; Magnoliopsida; Poales; Poaceae. The record is from RNAcentral.
ACACAUCAUCCUCGGGGUCGCCCGAUCCAAUCAGUGCACCAUCCAUGGUCUCCUCCUCGCUUUGCCCGCCAAGCCAACCGCAGUGCACGGCCAUCCGCAACUCCCUGAGUCUGCACGCCCGCGGAGCCGGUCUACCAAGGCCUCGUCGCGCCACAUCCAUCCCAUGAUUGCCGGUUCCUCGCCGCCGGCAAGAUUCUUCGCAGAUGAGCUCCGUUGGCCCUCCUCUUCCCUCUCUUUUCUCUUCUAGUUCAUCUCCUUCCCCUCAUCUCGAGCGACUUGUCUCAUAUUCUCCUGCAGGUCAGAGCCAUGGACACCUGAAGAAAUCGCCGAUCAUCUCCUUGCCAUCCUCCUGCGCGAACGCAGCUGUGCCAUCCAAUUCUUGCAGUCAGCCGCUUCUCCCCGCACUGGAGCCGUUCAAAGCCGCUGCCGCCCGAGCACGUCUUCUCGCGCCGUGUGCUGCCCUGCAACGAGCGAUCGAGGAGGACGAGCCUUGACACCCAACGCCUCGCUUCCUCUGCACGCAUGUGUGCGCCACCUCUGCUCGGCCCCAUCGUCGUUACCCCCUCUUCCGGCAACUCCGAUGAGCAGAAAGUCAACCCUGCAGCUCACCUGCUUCCUUCCCUCUUCUUAAUUCUUCUUCUUCGCUAGUUCUCUCCUCUGCCUCCCUCUCAAUUUUGUCUCCCAUGCAGAUCCUUCAUGUAUGGCUGCCCGAGUUCAAGUGGACGCAGCCGCCGGAGCUCCGUCCGCGCCCAUAUCCGGCAAGCCCGCGCCGCCUCGGAUCCAUUCCCGGCCUCCCCAGCUCCCGACUCGUCCGGAUCUGGCCGAUCCGGAAAGAUUUUCUAGUGCCGCCGCUGUCCAGGAGGAAGGCAUGCCCGAGAUCCAGCAACAACACAGAGGGACAUCUCUGUUUUUGCGCUUUCAGUUUGGUUCAGUUAGCAUCUAGGUAUGGUUCAACUAGAGAAAACCCCAUGUUACAUCAAUGUCCGCUCGUAGCUUCGGGGUCACAUGUACUUACACACAGCGAGACGUAUUGGGUGGAAGUCCAGAGCACAAUUUUUGCUCGUUUCUGCUUAUUAUUGUACACAAGCGCAGAAGACCUGAUCCACACACCGGGCCAGUGCACAACGCUGAGACCGACCCGUAGAUGUUUUUUGCCCCGGUGAUUAGUACUUCCUCCGUUCCAAAAUUCUUCUCUUAGAUUUGUUUAAAAACUAAUGUAUCUAAUUAUUAAAACAUGACUAGAUAUAUUUAUAUUUAGAUAAAUCUAAGACAAUAAUUUUAGAAUGGAGGAGUAUUUCUUUUCGAGUGCAUUGCAUGUUUAUAAUUGUCAUCAUCUUAAAUUGGUUAUAACCAUGCAUCAUAUUAAAACAUGUCGUAUUUGUAAAAUGUAUAAAAUUUUGUCUAGUUUCACAAUAAGCAACUUUCAUCCCUGUUAGAAACUUUUAACUCGUUGUUUGCUUAAAUUUGCAUCAAUUGCCAUGUUAAAAUGAUUUAUUUCAUAUAUUUCAACCGUAACUCCGUUUGCAGUGAUCUCUAUAUAUAAACCGACUAGAAUGACGUGUAGAAUCACAUGCUUCACUUUAUUUUGUUGUUUAAUAAAUUUCAAAUAUGAUUAAAUUAGAUCUGGACAGAUUUUGAAAUUAACAUAUGGGUUUAUUUCGGACACGCUAUAUGUUGUUUCUGAGCUCAUUUAAUAUACCUAGAUAGUGUACAUAUUUAUGCUUCACCUCUUGUCAUGUUAACACCAUUUAAUAUUGUCGUGUACCUAAAUGAGAGCGAACUAAGUAAUUAAAUGUGGAUUUUCGUCAAUAUGCAACGAGUUGCAUAUUGAGCUUCAUUAAAUGUGUUGUAAUAAAUUGUUGUGCUUUGUCUUGCCAUGCAUAAUUAAAUCGAUCAUGCAUCAGAUGUGUUGUGCAUUAUGUCAUGCAUAUGUUGUGGUAGUAUUGUGUGUUGAUCGUUGUUCCAGAUUGUUUCUUCUCGAUAGAGUUCCGCAAGCAUGUCGAAGUGUGAGGAUUUGUUUGACUAUGUCGGUUCGUCUGCUUCACGGAUUCGUUCUUCUUUCAAGAAGGAUCUCAUGCAAGAUGAUCAUUUCCCUAAAUGUCAGCCUCCCAACAUUGUCAUGAAAAGCCUCUAACCUUUUCCACAACCCAGCAAACCACUGUUUGUCUAUGUUAUCGCUUGCUCAGCCUUCUUAUAGCAUUACUAGUUACAGGUGCAGUUGCUUCCAUGUGAAAACAUGGGUUCUUUGUUAUAUCAUCAUAUUAUUGCUAAUUAAUUAAUGCACCUAUAUACUUGGUAAAAAGUGGAAGGCUUGGCCUUCUAGCCUGGUGUUUUGUUCCACCUUUGUUGCCUUAGUUUCGGCUACCUGCAUUAUGUUCCAUAAUUGAGCGCUCCUAACAUGCGUGGGGUUGUUAUGAAGACCCCUUGAUAAUUCGUUUUAGUUUAAAACUUGUCUGGCAAGGCUCAACUUUGGUACUACAUUUUCCUAAUAACUAAUAAAAUUGUAUAGGGACUUUCAAGACCCCAUGGAUAAUUAAUCAACAACCUCGGUCAGUGCUACUCAUGAGUGUUGCUCCAAAAUGGGCUACGUGCGGGGCCACCGUGAGGAAACUCGAGGACUGGUUUUACUCGUAACUAGUCCCAUCCAGUCGUGUCCUGAGAGCAAGAUACACGGCUCCUAUCGGGUUCGUCGACAAGUCAGGCGGCCUUGUUGGACUUGUUUUUUCUUUUAUGAGAUAUCUUGUGCGAGGGAUUUCGAGGAUACUUCGGGCUAUCUCGAAGAACGUUCAUUCAUUUCAUCAUCAUCACUCACGUCCAUUUAUGCAUAGAUCAUCCCCCCCUUCAUUCUUGUACUCGUAAGUUAGCCAUUUAAAAAAAAUAUUAGUCCCUUGCUGCAUCCUUACCACUUAACCAAAACUCACUCAUUAAGUUUUGUUAGUCUUAAUACCUUUGCAAAUGAGAUUGUUGAGUCCCUGUGGCUCACUAAUUACUACAACAAUAGUUGCAUGUACAUGUAAAGUGAUACAUUGACGUGAUCGCGAUGCUUUUUCUAUUUGGAGUUUCUUUUUCUUCUUCUGCAUCGAUCUAGGACGGGUUCCAGGCCGGCAUCCUGGGAUAGCAAGGAUGGACGUUGUUAUUUUAUCAUUUAUUUUCGUCCGUAGUCGGACCCUGCACUUCUACAUGGUGUUUGAAUAUGUUAUUGUAUUGAUGUGAACUUGAUGUAGAUUGUGGUGAG